GACGAACGCUGGCGGCGUGCUUAACACAUGCAAGUCGAACGGAAAGGCCCUGCUUGCAGGGUACUCGAGUGGCGAACGGGUGAGUAACACGUGGGUUAUCUGCCCUGCACUUCGGGAUAAGCCUGGGAAACUGGGUCUAAUACCGGAUAGGAGCCAUUUUUAGUGUGAUGGUUGGAAAGUUUUUUCGGUGUAGGAUGAGCUCGCGGCCUAUCAGCUUGUUGGUGGGGUAAUGGCCUACCAAGGCGGCGACGGGUAGCCGGCCUGAGAGGGUGGACAGCCACAUUGGGACUGAGAUACGGCCCAGACCCCUACGGGAGGCAGCAGUGGGGAAUAUUGCACAAUGGGCGCAAGCCUGAUGCAGCGACGCCGCGUGGGGGAUGACGGCCUUCGGGUUGUAAACUCCUUUCGCUAGGGACGAAGCUUUUUGUGACGGUACCUAGAUAAGAAGCACCGGCUAACUACGUG
Molecule: ribosomal RNA, 465 nt
Filed under: uncultured bacterium
Lineage: Bacteria
Description: partial 16S ribosomal RNA
Rfam family: Bacterial small subunit ribosomal RNA
Source: RNAcentral